Molecule: long non-coding RNA, 22021 nt
Filed under: Homo sapiens (human)
Lineage: Eukaryota; Metazoa; Chordata; Mammalia; Primates; Hominidae
Description: non-protein coding NDUFA6-DT:48
Source: RNAcentral
ACAGAAACGCCGCUUGGCCUUUGGACUACACCAUCUGUCGCUCGCUCUAACGAGCCGGCGUUGCCGCCAGGGGACGCUCGGGCCGCAGGAGGUCGCUGGGUCGUGAGCUGGCGCCGGGGACGCCGAGCGACUGCGGGGUUUCCCUCAGCGUCCUGCUAUCCGGCUGCCCGCCGCGCUCCUUGGUAGUGUCCGUGGGCGCGCAGGCCUUGAAGAACCUCCUCGUGGCGGGACCCCGAGCGCAGGAGAGGUGUCAAAGAGCUGGCGCGUCUCCAGAGCCCCGGGAGGAAGGCUGUAACGGCAGCCCCAUCGUAGACAGGGACAUUCGCAUCCCGAGCCCUGGAUCUCUGAAAACCAGCCCAGAAUUUGGAAGCUGGAAGGAACUUUAGAUCGUCCAUUCUGAGUGUCUCUCUUCGCUGGCGUUUUCCCACUGAGGUUAUGUAAACAUGAAGAGGAGCCUACAAGUGUCAAGGAAAAAACGACAGCUAACCACAGGGCAGGCCAUGGGCAAGAUAUCUCAGUGUUCUCCGCUCUCAUAGGUCAGAGUGAGACUCACCUAGGCUGGACUGCAAUGGUGCAAUCUCGGCUCACUGCAACCUCCGCCUCUCAUGUUCAAGCCAUUCUCCUGCCUCAGCUUUCCGAAUCGCUGGGAUUACAGGUGCGCACCACCAUGCAUGGCUAAUGCUUGUAUUUUAGUAGAGACGGGGUUUUGCUAUGUUGGCCAGGCUGGUCUCAAACUCCUGACUUCAGGUGAUCCACCCACCUCAGCCUCCCAAAGUGCUGGGAUUACAGGUGUGAGCCACUGCCCCCGGCUGAUAUACUCAUUUUAUAGAUGAGAAAACUGAGGCACAAAGAGACUAAGUUACUUUACAGCAUUGGGGUUGAAGCCCAGGCAGCUGGUGCCAGAGUCAGUUUUCUGACUCUCGCAGCACCUAUACCAUGAUAUCUACCUGUAUGAUUCUAACCUUGUGUAUACCCCUGCCUCCUUCAGAAGUACCCACUAUCAUGAUAAAUUCAUUGUGUUCAACAUUCAAAAAAAAAAUGGGGCGCAGUGGCUCACUCCUGUAAUCCCAACACUUUGGGAGGCCAAGGCAGGUGUAUCACCUGAUGUCAGGAGUUCGAGACCAGCCUGGCCAACAUGGUGAAACCCCCGUCUCUACUAAAAAUACAAAAAUUAGCCGGCAUGGUGGUGGGCACCUGUAAUCUCAGCUACUCGGGAGGCUGAGGCAGGAGGAUCGCUUGAGCCCGCGAGGUGGAGGUUGCGGUGAGCCAAGAUUGCGCCGCUGGACUCCAGUCUGGGCGACAGAGUGAGACCCUGUCUCAAAAGGAAAAGAAAAAAAAGACCUCUAAACAACCCACAAACUGGGAGAAAAUUUUUGCAAAUCACAUGUUCCAUAAGGGACUUGUAUCUAGGAUACAUAAAAUUCUUACAACUCAGUAAUGAAAAGACAAAUAGCCAAGUUUAGAAAUGGGCAAGGGAGACAACACCAAAUGCUGGUGAGGAUGUGAAGCAACAGGAACUCUCCUUACUGGUAGGAACGCAAAAUGGUACAGCAGCUUUGGAAGACAGUUUGGCUUUCUGACAAAACUAAACAUACUCCCAUCAGAAGAUCCAGCCAUUGCAUUCCUUAGUGUUUACCCAAAUGAGCUGAAAACUUAUGUCCACACAGAAACCUGCACAUGGAUGUUUACAGCAGCUUUUGUUUUUGUUUUUGUUUUUGAGAUGGAGUCUCGCUCUGUCACCCAGGGUGGAGUGCAGUGGCGCGAUCUCGGCUCACUGGAAGCUCUGCCUCCUGGGUUCACGCCAUUCUCCUGCCUCAGCCUCCAAGUAGCUGGGACUACAGGCGCCUGCCACGAAGCCCAGCUAAUUUUUUGUAUUUUAAGUAGAGACGGGGUUUCACCAUGUUAGCCAGGAUGGUCUCGAUCUCCUGACCUCGUGAUCUGCCCGCCUUGGCCUCCCAAAGUUCUGGGACUACAGGCGUGAGCCACCGCUCCCGGCCAGCAGCAGCUUUAUUUGUAAUUGCCAAAACUUGAAAGCAACCAAGAUGUCCUUUAGCAGGUAAAUGGAUAAAUAAACCUUGGUAUAUCCAGACAAUGGACUAUAUUCAGCACUAGAAAGAAAUGAGCUAUUAAGCCAUGAAAAGGCAUGGAGAAACCUUAAAUGCAUAUUAGUAAGUGAAAGAAGACAAUCUGAAAGAGCUACAUACUGUAUGAUUCCAACUAUAUUACAUCCUGGAAAAGGCAAAACUAUGGAGACAAUAAAAAAGAUGGCAGGGGCUGGGAGUGGGGAGAAAUGCACAGAGGUGGUGCACAGAGAAUAUUUAGGGUAGUGAAAUUACUCUGGAUGUUAUAAUGGUGGAUACAUGUUAUUACACAUUUGUCAAACCCUACAGGAUGUACAACACCAAGAAUGAAACCUAAUGUAAACUAUGGGAUAUGGGUGAUACUGGUGUGUCAAUGUAGCUUCAUUGCUUAUAACAAAUAUAUCCUCUGGUGCCUGAUGUUGUUGGUGGGGGGAGGCUAUGAGUGUGUGUGGGGUGGGGGAACCCUGUAUUUUCUGUUCAGUUUUGCUGUGAACUCGAAACUGCUCUUAAAGAUGAAAUUUUUAUUUUAAUGGGUAAAGUAUUUGAAUAACCAUUUCUCCAAAGAGGAUAUACGGGUGACCAAUAAGUACAUGAAAAGACAUUCAACAUCAUGAGCCAUUAGGGAAAUAAAAAUCAAAACCCUCGUGAGAUACCAUUUCUCACCCAGUAGAAUGGCUAGAGUGAAAAAGGCAGACACAGCCAGUCACGGUGGCUCACACCUGUAAUCCCAGCAUUUUGAGAGGCCAAGGCCAGUAGAUCACUUGGGUUCAGGAGUUUGAGACCAGCCUGGCCAACGUGGUAAAACCUCCUCUCUACUAAAAAUAGGAAAAUUAGCUGGGCAUGGUAGUGCAUGCCUGUAAUCCCAGCUACUAGGGAGGCUGAGGCAGGAGAAUUGCUUGACCCGGGAGGUGGAGGUUGCAGUGAGCCCAGAUCAUGCCAUUUCACUCCAGCUUGGGUGACAGAGCAAGACUCCAUCUCAAAAAAAAAAAAAAAAAGACAAAAGAUAGUGUUGGCAAGGAUAUAGAGAAAUUAGAACUUUCUAUACUUUGCUGGUGGGAAUGUAAAAUGGUGUAGCCAUUUGGGAAAACAGUCUGGCAGUUUCUUAAACAGUUAAAUAUGGCCAGGAGUGGUGGUACUCACUUGUAAGAGGCCGAGGCAGAAGCAUUGCUUGAGCUUAGGAGUUUGAGACCAGACUAGGCAAAAUAAUGAGACCGUAUUUAAAAAAAAAAAAAAAAGUUAAACGUGGACUUACUAUAUGAUCCAGCAAUUCCAAUCCUAGGUAUUUACCCUGAAGAAAUUUUUUUCCACACAAAGACUUGUAUGCAAAUGUUCAUAGCAGCAUUAUUCACCAUAGCCAAAAACUAAAAACACCCAAAUGGCUAUCUGUUGAUAAGUGGAUAAACAGAAGGUGGUCUGUCACCCAGGCAUGGUGGCUCAUUCCUAUAAUGUCAGGAUUGCUUGAGGCCAGGAGUUUGAGAACAGCUUGGGCAACAUAGUGAGACUGCAUCUGUUGAGGGAAGUCAGGAACCCCGAACGGAGGGACCGGCUGAAGCCGUGGCAGAAGAACAUAAAUUGUGAAGAUUUCACGGACAUUUGUUAGUUCCCCAAAUUAAUACUUUUAUAAUUUCUUACACCUGUCUUUACUGCAGUCUCUGAACAUAAAUUGUGAAGAUUUCAUGGACACUUAUCACUUCCCCAAUCAAUAGCCUUGUGAUUUCCUAUUCCUGUCUUUAAUCUCUUAAUCCCGUCAUCUUCGUAAGCUGAGGAGGAUGUAUGUCGCCUCAGGACCCUGUGAUGAUUGCAUUAACUGCACAAAUUGUUUGUAGAGCAUGUGUGUUUGAAUAAUAUGAAAUCUGGGCACCUUGAAAAAAGAACAGGAUAACAGCAACGUUCAGGGAACAAGAGAGAUAACCUUAAACUCUUGACUGCCAGUGAGCCGGGCGGAACAGAGCCAUAUUUCUCUUCUUUCAAAAGCAAAUGGGAGAAAUAUCGCUGAAUUCUUUUUCUCAGCAAGGAACGCCCCUGAGAAAGAGAAUGCGUCCCUGAGGGUAGGCCUCUGAAAUGGCCACUUGGGGGGUGGCUGUAUUUUACAGUCACAGCUGUAGGGAUGAAAUAAGCCCCAGUCUCCUGUAGCGCUCCCAGGCUUAUUAGGAUGAGGAAAUUCCCACCUAAUAAAUUUUGGUCAGACCGGUUGUCUGCUCUCAAACCCUGUCUCCUGAUAAGAUGUUAUCAGUGACAAUGCAUGCCCAAAACUUCAUUAGCAAUUUUAAUUUCGCCCCGGUCCUGUGGUCCUGUGAACUCGCCCUGCCUUCAUUUACCUUGUGAUAUCUUAUUACCUUGUGAAGCAUGUGAUCUCUGUGACCCACACCCUAUUCGUACACUCUCUUCCCUUUUGAAAUCGAUAAUAAAAACUUGCUGGUUUUAUGGCUCAGGGGGCAUCACGGAACCUGCUGACAUGUGACGUCUCCCCCGGACACCCAGCUUUAAAAUUUAUCUCUUUUGUACUCUGUCCCUUUAUUUCUCAGACCGGCCGACACUUAGGGAAAAUAGAAAAGAACCUACGUGAAAUAUCAGGGGUGAAUUUUGCCCGAUAGCAUCUCUACAAAAAUUUGUUUAAAAUAGCCAAGCAUGGUGGUACGUGUCUAUAGUCCCAGCUACUCGAGGGGCUGAGGUAGGAGGAUUGCUUGAAGCCAGGAGUUCGAGGCUACCAUAAACUAUGAUCCUACCACUGUACUCCAGCCUGGGUGACAAAAAAACAAACCUAAACAAAACACAAAAUAUGGUGAUACGGUUUGGAUAUUUGUCCCUUCCAAAUCUCGUCAAAAUGUCAUCCCCAGUGUUGGAGUUGAAGCCUGGUGGAAGGUGAAUGGAUCAUGGAGGCAGAUCCCUCAUGAACGGCUUAGCACCAUCCCCUUGGUGAUGAGUGAGUUCAUCUGUAAUCUGGUUGUUAAAGGUGUGUGGCAUCUCCCGCUUUGCUCUCUUGUUCCUGCUGUCACCAUGUGACAUCCCUGCUCUCCCUUUUCCUUCUGCUGGGAUUUGAAGCUUCCUGAGGCCCUCACCAGGAGCAGAUGCUGGAGCCAUGCUUGCACAGCCUGCAGAACUGAAUCAAUUAAACCUCUUUUUCCUCUCUCUCUUUUUUUAUUUUUAUUUUUUUUGAUAUGGAGUCUCACUCUGUCACCCAGGCUGGAGUGCGAUGGCACGAUCUCAGCUCACUGUAACCUCCGCCUCCCGGGUUCAAGCGAUUCUCCUGCCUCAGCCUUCCAAGUAGCUGGGAUUAUAGGCGUACGCCACCAUGCCCAGGAGGCAGAGGUUGCAGUGAGCCGAGAUCACACCACUGCACUCCAGCCUGGGUGACAGAGCAAGACUCCGUCUCAGGGAAAAAAAAAAAAAACUACCAAAUUGUUUUCCAGAAUAACUGAAUCAUUUUACAUUCUCAUUGGCAAUUCAUGAGUGAUCUAGUUUCUCCACAUCCUCUUCUACAUUUGGUGUAGCAACUGUUUACAUUUAGCCAUUUGGAAUAAGUGUACAGGGAUAGCCCAUUGUAGUUUUAGUUUGCAUUUCCUUAAUGGCUAGUGAUAUUGAACAUCCUUUCCCAAGUUUAUUUCCAAUGUGUAUAUUCUCUUUACUGAAGUGCUUUUUCAUGUCUUUUGCACAUUUUUAUUUAGAUUAUUUAUUUUUGAGUUUUGGGAGUUCUUUAUAUAUUCUAGAUACUAGUCCUUUAUCAGAUACGUAGUUUGCAAAUAUUUUCUCCCACUCUAUGCCUUUUCAUCCUCUGAACAGGGUCUUUCACAGAGUAAAAGUGCUUAAUUUUGAUGAAAUCUAUUUUAUUAUUUUUCCUGUUAUGGAUUGUGCUUUUAGUGUCAAGACUAAAAAUGCCUUGUGUAGCUCUAGGUCCAGAAGAUUUUCUCCUAAAUGUUUGAUGAUGUACAUUUAAGUCCAUGGUUUGGUUUGGUUUUUGUUUUUUGGUUUUUGUUUUUCUUUGAGACAGUCUUAUUCCCUCACCCAGGCUGGAGUGCAGUGGCAUGAUCUUGGCUUACUGCAACCUCUGCCUCCCAGGUUCAAGCGAUUCUGGUGUCUCAUCCUCCAAAGUAGCUGGAAUUAUAGAUGCGCACCAUCACGCCCAGCUAAUUUUUGUAUUUUUAGUAGAGACAGGGUUUCACCACGUUGGCCAGGCUGGUCUUGAACUCCUGACUUCAAGUGAUCUACCUGCCAUGCUGGAAUUAUAGGCAUGAGCCACUGCACCUUGUUGUAAUUUUUGUAUAUAAUGUAAGAUUUAUUUCAAGGUUCAUUUUCUUGCCUAUGAAUAUCUGAUUACUCCAGAACCAUUUGUUGAAAAGCCAUUUUUCCUCCAUUGAAUUGCAUCAGCACCUUUGUAAAAAACCAACUGGGCACAUAUUAGUUGGUGACAAAUUCUUUUAGUUUUCCUUCCUUUGAGAAUUUUACAAUUUCCCCCAGCAUUCUUGAAGGAUAUUUUCAUUGGAUAUGGGAUUCUGAGUUGAUAGUUUUUUUAACAAUGGAAAAGUGUUGUGUCACUUCUUUCUGGUUUCUGUUGUCUCUGAUGAGAAAUAAGCUGUCAUUCAAAUUAUUUUUUCUAUAUAAGUAACAUAUUGUUUUUCUCUGGCUGCUUUCAAAAAAUUUUUUUGUUUUGUUUUCAGAAGUUUGACUAUAAUGUAUCUUGGUGUGAACUUCUUUGGGUUUAUCCCAAUUGGAAUUCUCUCAGCUUCUUGAAUCUAUUGUUUUAUGCAUUUUGCCAAGUAGGAAAGUUUUCUUUGAAUAUUUGUUCAUUUGAUUAUUUAUUUAUUAAUGUAUUUUUUUGAGACAGGGUCUUGCUCUGUUAUCCAGGCUGGAGUACAGUGGCAGAAUCAUGGCUCACUGCAACCUAGACCUUCCAGGCCGAAGCGUUCCUCCCACUUCAGUCCCCAGAGUAGCUGGGACCACAGGUGUGCACCACCACACUCAAUUUUUUUGUUUUUGAGGCGGAGUCUCGCUCUUUCACCAGGCUGGAGUGCAGUGGCAUGAUCUUGGCUCACUGCAAUGUCUGCCUCCCAGAUUCCAGUGAUUCUCGUGCCUCAACCUCCUGAGUAGCUGGGAUUACAGGUGCCUGCCACCAUGCCUGGCUAAUUUUUGAAUUUUUGGUAGAGACGGGGUUUUACCAAGUUGGCCAGGAUGGUCUCAAUCUCUUGACCUCAUGAUCCGCCUGCCUUGGCCUCCCAAAGUGCUGGGAUUACAGGCGAGAGCCACCACGCCCGGCCCCCUCCUAUGUUGUCCAGGCUGGCCCCAAACUCCUGGGCUCAAGCAAUCCUUCUGCCUCUGUCUACCAAAAUGCUGGGAUUACAGGGAUGAGCUAUCAUGCCCCACUCUGAUCUUUUAUUAACAGUCUCACAGGCCCUGAGGUUGUGUUUAUUAUUUGUUUCUUUUCUUUUCUUCUUUUUUUUUUUUUUUUUUUUUUUUUUUUUGGUUGAGAUGGAGUCUCGCUCUGUCGCCCAGGCUGGAGUACAGUGGCGCGAUCUUGGCUCUGCCUCCCGGGUUCACACCAUUCUCCCGCCUCAGCCUCCCGAGUAGCUGGGACUACAGGUGCCCACCACCAUGCUCGGCUAAUUUCGUUUUUGUAUUUUUAGCAGAGACGGGGUUUCACCGUGUUAGCCAGGGAUGGUCUCGAUCUCCUGACCUCAUGAUCCACCCACCUCAGCCUCCCAAAGUGCUGGGGUUACAGGCAUGAGCCACUGUACCGGCCUCUUUUAUUUUCUCUUUUCUUUCUUGUUUACUUUUUCCAGUCCAUUUUCUCUCUGUUGUUCAGAUUGAGUAAUUUCUGUUGUCCUGUCUUCCAGUUAACUGCUUGUGUUGUCCUCUUUUCCACUUUUGAGCCCAUUCACUGAGCUUUUUAUUUCGUUGUUGUAUUUUCUAUUUCUAAAAUUUCUAUCUGAUUCUUCCUUAUAUCUCCUAUUUCUAUGCUGAGACUCUUUUUUAUUUUUUCAACAUGUUCAUAACUGUAUUUUUUUUUUUUGAGAUGGAGUCUCACUCUGUCGCCCAGGCUGAAGUGCAGUGGCACGAUCUCGGUGCACUGCAACCUCUGCCUCCCAGGUUCAAAAGAUUCUCCUGCCUCAGGCUCCCGGGUAGCUGGAAUUACAGGCAUGCACCACCACACCCAGCUAAUUUUUGUACUUUUUGUAGAGACAGGGUUUAACCACGUUGCCCAGGCUUGUCUCGAACUCCUGGACUCAAGCAACCAACCUGACUUGGCCUCUCAAAGUGCUGGGAUUACAGGCAUGAGCCACUUUGCCCGGCCUGAGUUGCAUUCCUCUAUGAAUUUUAGAAAAAGCAAUCAAUUUCAACAAGAAAAUUGCUGGAAUUUUUAUUGAUUACACUGAAUCUAUAGAUUAAUUUGAGAGGAACUGACAUCUUUAAAAUGUUGAGUCUUCUGAUUCAUGACCAUGGUAUGGCUCUUCAUUGAUUUACAUCGUCUUUAAUUUCUCUCAGCAAUGUUUUGUAGUUAUUAGUGUAUGAUUUUGCAUGUAGCUUUUGUUAUAUUUUUUGUCUAUGUAUUUUAUAUUUUGGAUGCUGUUAUAACUGGUUUUUAAGAAGUUUUAAUUCCCAAUUGUUUAUUCCUAUUAUAUAGCAAUAUAAUUGAUUUUAAUACAGUGAUCUUGCAUCCUUCAGCCUUGUUAAGCUGUAGUUGCUUUUUGGAUGAUCCCACAGGAUUUUACACACAAUCAUGUUAUUUGAAAAUACAGUUUUAUUUCUUUCUUUCCAAUCUGAUUGCCUUUUACUUCUCUUUUUUGACUUGUUCACUGGCUAGAGCUUCUAGCACAAUAUCAUACAGAAGUGAUGAGGGUAGACCGGGUGCGGUGGCUCAUGCAUGUAAUCCCAGCACUUUGGGAGGCCGAGGCAGGCGGAUCACCUGAGGUCAGGAGUUCGAGACCAGCCUGGCCAACAUGGUGAAACCCCAUCUCUACUAAAAAUACAAAAUUUAGCUUGGCGUGAUGGUGCACACCUAUAAUUCCAGCUACUUGGGAGGCUGAGGCAGGAGAAUCGCUUGAACCUGAGAGGCAGAGGUUGCAGUGAGCUGAGAUCAUGCCAUUGCACUCCAGCCUAGGUGACAGAACGAGACUCUGCCUCAAAAAAAAAAGCAAUGAGGGCAGACUUUUUUUGCCUUAAAUUAAGACAUUCCUGGCCAGCUGUGGUGGCUCAUGUCUGUAAUGCCAAUACUUUGGGAGGCCAAGGUGGGUGGAUCACCUGAGAUCAGGAAUUUGAGACCAGCCUGGCCAACAUGGUGAAACCCCGUUUCUACUAGAAAUACAAAAAUUAGCUGGGCGUGGCGGCAGGCACCUGUAAUCCUAGCUAUUCAGGUGGCUGAGGUAGGAGAAUCACUUAAACCUGGGAGGCGGAGGUUGCAGUGAGCCAAGAUUGUGCCCUUACACUACAGCCUGGGUGACAAGAGUGAAAGUCUGUCUCAAAAUAAAUAAAUAAAUAAAUAAAUAAAUAAAUAAAGACAUUUCUGAACUUAGGAACAAAGCAUUUAGUAUUUUACCAUUGAGUAUGUUGCUAGCUGUAGGUUUUUCGUAGAUACCCCUCAUCGGAUUGAAAAUGUUUCCAUGAAUUCCUCGUUUGCUGGGAAUUUUCUUUUCUUUGAGGUUCAGAUGUUGAUUUUGUGAAAUAUAUUUUAUGCAUCUAUUGAUAUAAUCAUGGAAUUUUUCUUUUUCUGUCUGUUAAUAUGGUUAAUUUCAUUUAUUGGUUUUUGAAUGUUGAACCAACCUUGCAUUCCUGGGAGUAAAUGCUAUAGAUAAUGUUGUAUAUAUUUACAUAUUAUUUUCAAUGUGAUAAGAUUUUGUUAAUAUUUGCAUCUGUGUUUAUGAGGAUGUUAAUCUGUAUCAUCUUUACCUGUUUUUUUUUUGUUGUUUGUUUGUUUUUGAGAUGGAGUCUUGGUCUGUUGCCCAGGCUAGAGUGCAGUGGCGUGAUCUUGGCUCACUGCAACCUCUGCCUCCUGGGUUCAAGUGAUUUCCCUGCCUGAGCCUCCCGAGUAGCUGGCAGUACAGGUGCUUGCCACCAUGCCCAGCUAAAUUUUGUAUUUUUAGUAGAGAUGGGGUUUCAUCGUGUUGGUCAGGCUGGACUCGAACUCCUGAACUCAAGUGAUCCGCCUGCCUCAGCCUCCCAAAGUGCUGGGAUUACAGGUGUGAGCCACUGUGCCUGGCCCAUUAAGGUGCAUAUGUAUUUAGGAUUGUGAUAUUUUCCUGUUGGACUGAUUUUUUUUUUUUUUUUGAGACAGAGUCUCGCUCUGUCUGCCCAGCCUGGAGUGCAGUGGCGUGAUCUCAGCUCUCAUCUCACUGCAAGCUCCGCCUCCUGGAUUGAUGCCAUUCUCCUGCCUCAGCCUCCCGAGUAGCUGGGACUACAGGUGCCCACCACCACACCCGGCUAAUUUUUUUGUAUUUUUAGUAGAGACGGGGUUUCACCAUGUUAGCCAGGAUGGUCUUGAUCUCCUGACCUCGUAAUCCGCCCGUCUCAGCCUCCCAAAGUGCUGGGAUUCCAGGUGUGAGCCACUGCGCCCGGCUGGACUGAUCUUUUAUCGUUAUGUAAUGUCCCUUUUUGUCUUUUUUUUUUUUUUUUUUUUUUUUUGAGACAGAGUCUCACUCUGUUGCCCAGGCUGGAGUGCAGUGGCGCAAUCUCGGUUCACUGCAAGCUCCACCUCCCGGCUUCACACCAUUCUCCUGCCUCAGCCUCCAGAGUAGCUGGGACUACAGGCACCCACCACCAUGCCCAGCUCAUUUUUUUGUAUUUUUUUAGUAGAGACGGGGUUUCACCAUGUUAGCCAGGAUGGUCUCGAUCUCCUGACCUCAUGAUCCACCCGCCUUGGCCUCCCGAAGUGCUGGGUUUACAGGUGUGAGCUACCACGCCUGGCCCCUUUUUGUCUUUUUUUUAACCGUUGUUGCUUUAAAGUCUGUUUGUGUGAUAUAGGAAUAGCUACUCGGCAAGGCAUGAUGGCUCAUGCCUGUAAUCCCAGCACUUUGGGAGGCUGAGACAGGUGGAUCACGAGGUCAGGAGAUUGAGAUCAUCUUUGCCACCAUUGUGAAACCCCAUCUCUACUAAAAAUACAAAAAUUAGCUUGGUGUGGUGGCAUGCCCCUGUAGUCCCAGCUACUCGGGAGGCUGAGGCAGGAGAAUUGCUUGAACUCAGGAGGCAGAGGUUGCAGUGAGCCAAGUUAGCGCCACUGCAUUCCAGCCUGGUGACAGAGCAAGACUUAGUCUCAGAAAAAAAAACAAAAACAAAAAAACAUAGCUACUCUUGGCCAGCUCACAUCUAUUAUCCUAGCACUUUGGGAGGCCAAGGCAGGCAGAUCAUGAGGUCAGGAGAUUGAGACCAUCCUGGCUAACAUGGUGAAACCCUGUCUCUACUAAAAAUACAAAAAAUUUAGCUGGGCAUGGUGGCGCAUGCCUGUAGUCCCAACUACUUGGGAGGCUGAGGCAGGAGAAUUGUUUGAACCCAGGAGGCAGAGGUUGCAGUGAGCCGAGAUCGUGCCACUGCACUCCAGCCUGGGCAACAGAGCGAGACUCCAUCUCAAAGAAAAAAAAAAAAGAAUAGCUACUCGUACUUGCUUUUGGUUUCCAUUUGCGUGCAGUAUCUUUUUCUACCCCUUUACCUUAAGUUUAUGUGAGUCCCUAUGCAUUAGAUGAGUCUCUUGAAGACAGCAGAUGGUUGGUUGGUGAAUUUUAUCCAUUCUGUGUCUUUUAAGUGGAGCAUUCAGGCCAUUUACAUUCAAUGUUGGUAUUGAAUUAUGAGAUAGUGUUUUAUUCAUAGUGAUAGUUGUGCUUUUUUAAAUUGUGUUAUUGUUUUAUAAGCCUUUUAAAACAUAUACUUAAAGGAGGUUCUAUUUUUGUUUCAAGAUUUAGAACUCCUUUUGACAUUUCUUGUAGUGCUGGCUUGCUAGUGGCAAAUUCUCUCAGCAUUUGUUUGUCUGAAAAAGACUUUAUCUCUCCUCAUUUAUGAAGCAUAGUUUUGCUGGAUACAAAAUUCUUGGCUGGCAAUUAUUUUGUUUGAGGAGGCUAAAGAUAGGACCCCAAUCCCUUCUGGCUUAUAGGGUUUCUGCUGAGAAAUCUGCUGUUAAUCUGAUAGGAUUUCCAUUGUAGGUUCCCUGAUGCUUUUGCCUCAUGGCUCUUAAGAUGUUUCCCUUCAUCUUGACUUUAGAUAACCUGAUGACUGUGUGCCUAGGUAAUUAUCUUUUUGCAAUGAAUUUUUCAGGUGUUCUUUCAGCUUCUUGUAUUUAGAUGUUUAGAUCUCUGGUGAGAGCAAGGAACUUUUCCUUGAUUAUUCCCUCCAAUAAGCUUUCUAAAUGUUUAGAUUUCUCUUCUUCCUGAGGAACACCAAUUAUUCUUAGGUCUGGCUGUUUAACGUAAUCCCAAAUUUCUUGGAAGCUUUGUUCAUUUUUAAAAAUUCAUAUUCGCCGGGCGCAGUGGCUCACGCCUGUAAUCCCAGCACUUUGGGAGGCCGAGGCAGGCAGAUCACAAGGUCAGGAGAUCGAGACCAUCCUGGCUAACACGGUGAAACCCCAUCUCUACUAAAAAUACAAAAAAUAAGCCAGGUGUGGUGGCGGUCGCCUGUAGUCCCAGCUACUCAGGAGGCUGAGGUAGGAGAAUGCUAUGAACCCAGGAGACAGAGCUUGCAGUGAGCCGAGAUCACGCCACUGCACUCCAUCCAGCCUGGGCAACAGAGCGAGACUGUCUCAAAAAAAAAAAAUUCUUUUUUAUUUGUCUUUGUCUGGUUGAGUUACUUCAAAUGCUUUGUCUUCAAGCUCUGAAGUUCUUUCUUCUACUUGUUGGAGAUAAAUGUUCAGUGCCACAAAGCGAAACCAGCACUCAGGCAAAAAUUUUCUCAGCAAGGCAAUUUACUUCUGCAGAAGGGUGCUGCUUGUGUCAAUCACGAUUGCAAGAGCACACUGAACAAAGGAAAGCAGGGGUUUUUAUUCCUAAUGCAGUCCCUGCCUCUUUGUCAUUCCUCCAUGGGCUGUGGUUGGACCGCACAAUCUAAACUGACCCAAUUGGCUAUUUGUGAAUACUUUCCCAAAUAAGGAAGGGAAGGGAAAUGUGAGUUACAAUGGUGGGAUGUGCGGUUUCAAAGGGAGGAACGGGUGAAGAGUGGGUAACCAAGGGAACAGAUGUGAGUUAUUGAUUAGGACUGACAGGAAAGUUGUUUACAGUUACAGUAACUAGGGGCAAGGAGGCAUAGAGAACAAGAAAGUUGAGUUUGAGAACAAAGAACAAGGAAGUUAACAGGCUAAACCUUUGAAGAAUUUUAUUGUAUCCUACAAUUUCCCCCUUUUAAUUUUUAUAGUUCUUCCUCUUCAAACCUUUUUAAGAUGUCUUGGCUUUGCUGUUUGACUUGAUCGUCUGAAAGGAAACGCUUAUCUGAAUAAGGUGGAGGAGAGCUAAGGGAGAUUUUAGUAAGUGCUGUUUCUAUAAGCCUUUGUACUAGCCCAUGGUUGCAUGGUGUGACACAACACCCAACAAGAAUGAGUACACCUAUUAUGACUGCAAGAGAAGUAAGAAUUGAGGCUAUGAUUCCUUUCUAUUUACCAAACCACCUGUCUAGCCAUCCUGAAGAAGGGUUAUUGACUCCAGAAUUUUUAGCUAAUUCAUUAGAUAAAAUGGUAAGUCCUUGUAAGGCUUUUGUUAUGCUCCCAUCUGGGGCAGUAUGGUUUGGGAUGAAGGUACGACACUGAGUUUUAAUCAUAACACAAACUCUACCUUUUUCAGCUAGUAUCAUGCCUAGGGCCAUUCUGUUUUCCUAAGCCAUCUGGCUAGUCAGCCCUAACUCCUCAGCUAUUCCUUUGACAGCAUCCCUGGUAUAAUUAAUAAACUGCUGUUGGUUAUAAUAGAUGUAAUUUAUACAGUCUACAUUUUUAUUAAUAGUUACCCAUGGAAAUAUUGAUUCAAAUCCUGCAGACUAUUUGGUCCCGGGCUUUUAAUUUAUCAGGUACUCCCCAUGGGACUCCAGUUGCAUCUAAAUAAACUUGAGAGUCAAAAAACCUAUAAGGGGCUUCUCUUAUUUUAUGGUGUUGUGGCUUUUCUUUUUCUGGCUGAUGAAACGCCAGGGUGAAAGGGAUAGCCAAAUGGACAAGAGUGCAGGUACCACUCCAGUUACUUGGCAGAGUGUCCAGUAAGGGUCCGCCACAAUACCACCAUACAUCUUCUUGAGGAUGACUAAGGGCAGACUGAUGGGUAAGCUCUUGGAAAGGCUUAAGCUCACUGCAUCCUGUUAAGCUUCCAAGGAACACCAAGUUUUCCCCUUGUCGUGAGAGACAGGACGUGAAAUUGACAUUGGGAGCCAGAAGCUGGAUGGCCCUCUGGGGCUGACCCGCAGGAUAUUGAACUUUGGGAUAGAGCAAAGAGAGAGCUUGGCAUGAUUGAUUGCCCCAAGCUAUGGAAUCCUGGAAGAGAGCUACCAUGCUGCCCAUGCCUGGUUGACUGGGGGACCAGCCGAGUGUAAAGGGGUCUAUCUGGGUCUCUGGCUGGCCGUGAGCACAAGCAUAACAAUUGCUUUUGUUUCAUGUGCGGACAGAAUAUUUGGUCCAUUCCAACCAGGCAUUUGCAUCUUGAUAUUUUGUUUCAAUUGCUAAAGUUUGCCUUAGAUCAUUUACUUCUACAAUAUCUACUUUAGUCUUAUCAUUGGGUAUAGAAGGUAUGGCAGUCUGAUUAGAAGAAGGCUUAGAAGGAGAAGAGAGGGAAGAGGGUGAAGAGGAUGAGGGAUUAAUAAAACGCAUUUCAAAAGACCCUAUGAGGUCUGUGCCGCGUUGGUCCCUAUGCCAUAGAAGCGACUCAAAGUAGGUCUAGAGGGUCGGUAGAGGCCGGAGUGAGAGUAGAAAUCUGCACUGGAUUACACUGGUUAUACUGAAAAUCGAGGGGAGGGGUGCUUCCUUUAGUAAAGUGAAUGUAUGAUUUUAAGUAUAUACAGCCACAUGUUGAUGAGGUCCAGCCUUGAUACUCAGUUGUCCACAGAACAUCAUUCCAGCUAUGGCAGACCUGUUUCCCUAUAUUUUAUGAGGAGCAAGAGUCUUGGUAGCGGGAGCCUUUUAUUUUAAAGUGGCAGAGAUACUUUUCUAAGGCUGAGAGUUGCCUUUGACUUUGGAGAUCUCUACAGGGUAUGACUAAACAGGCAUCAAACAUAAUAACUUGGGGUGAGUUUGAUUUAGUCACAUUGAUAACAAGGUGGUCAGCAACAGAAUGAGGAAAGAAGAAAGAGUAAUAGAGUAGACGAAAGAGAGUUAAACUUUUCUUAGCUUUAGUUUGAGGGGGUUUUCCCCUGGGAUAAUGGCCCAUGACUCUGGAGGUGACAGUGCUUUCUUGACUCAGGUGUGAUGGGUCUAUCCUUUUUCUGCUGUCCGGACUGCAGUUUCAGUGGUUAGAAGCACCAGGUAAGGUCCUUCCCAGGCUGGCUCAAGUUUCUCCUCUUUUCAGCUCUUGAUAAGGACGUGAUCCCCAGGCUGAUGUUGAUGUACUGGGAACUCCAGAGGCAGAGCCUGUGCUAGGAGACCUUUGGUUUUAAGAAAAGAGAAAGUAGGGGAGAGACUAAGAAUAUAAUUCCUGAGGAACUGGUGUUUUUGGAACAUCAGCAGUGGAGUGUAAAUAAGGCAAUCCAUAGAGCAUCUUGUAAGGGGAAAGGCCAGUAUCUUUUCGAGGAGCAGUUUGGAUUCUUUUUUUUUUAUUUGGUUUUGUCAAAUGUUUUAUUGAGUGUAGACAUCUGGAGUACUAUAAAACAUGCAUUAUCUGUAGAUUCAAAAAGGAGCAAGCCACAUUGUUCUCACUGUCAAAUGUGUUAGGCUUGGCAUACAUGAUGGAGAUUAAUGAAGUAUCAUGAGAGUAACAUGGUUCUUGAAAAGCUUCUAUAAUUUGGAGUAGGGUCUUAAUCACAUGAAAAGCAAAGGUGUUCACAUUUAGUGAACUUGCAUUUCAUUGGGGGGAGAGGGUACACAGUAUUUUAAUUUUAAAACAAAAAUAAUUUGUUUGUCAAAGAUUCCCAUCUCCCCAACUUUAUUUGUCCCAUUGGUUUUCAGAAAUUUUAAUUUUUAAAAAAUCAGAUGCCUUUUGGAAGUUGUAUGUUUAUCUGAGCAGUAACUAAAUUUUAUUUCUUCUUCAGUUGUUAAGGUGUGUUAAAUUUGAAGAAGAUAAUAUCUCCAUCUUCAACAAUAUAAUUUCUGCCUUGUUGUCUGUACUUUCCAGCAGCCUUGACUGCAUUUUCAGAACCUUCCUCUUUAAAAUCUUCAUAUUUCAUUACUUCAGCCAUAAUGAAUCCCUUUUCAAAAUCUGUGUGAAUCUUUCCUGCAGCCUGAGGAGCCUUAGUCCCUUUCCUGAUGGUCCGUGCACGCACUUCAUCUGGGCCUGCAGUGAAAAAGUAUUUUAGUUGGAGUGCUGCAAACCCAGCCUUAAUGAUCUUUGGCAAAGCACUUUGUGUCAUGUUCGCUUCCAGAUACUGCUGUCUCUCCUCAGCACUCAAUUCUUGCAACUUGAGUUCCAAGGCCCCACUAAAAGGAAUGACCAAGGCACCUGGGUCAUACUUGUCCACCCACUCUUUAAUUUUUUUCAAUCUCUUUGUCAUUCCAAUCAUGAUAGAAGCGAACAGGUUCUUUUGAUCUAUAACCCAGGAUUUUACUUUGCACAUUAUAUCAUAUUUGGGUUUUAGUUUUUUAUCUCCUCCUCUCACAGCCACCUUUUCUAGUUUAUCUAUAAUGGGCCCAGUCAUUCCUCAUCUUUAAGCUGAAGCUCUUCAUGUAUUAUUUCUAUAUCUCGAAUAGGAUCUACACUUUCUUCAACAUGUGUGAUAUCAUCAUCUUCAAAAGCACGUGUUAGAUGAAAGAUGCCAUCACAAGCACUAAAAUGAGAUAAAAAAGCAUUCCCCAGGCCCUGCCCAUUGUGAGCUCCUUUCACAAGGCCAGCAAUAUCCACUACAUUUAGAAAGGCAGGAAUUUUGCUUGCUGGUUUGUGAUAUUGGCAAAGAAAGUCAAACCUUUCAUCUGGCACAGGUACUCUGCUCUCAUUAGGAUCAAUAGUGCAGAAUGGGAAGUUUUCUGCUGAAGCCUGACUAUUGGUUAAUACAUUGAAGAAAGUAGAUUUCCCAACAUUUGGCAAUCCAACAAUACCAAUUUUCAGUGAGGUUCCAAAUCUUCCAAUGAUUGGGGGUGGUUUAAUUCCAUCACCUCCCUUUUGAGGGGGCAUCGUGCUCAGCCUGGGCUAUGACACGGGGUCCCAGUAGCAGCGAGAGAAAGGUCCUGCCGGCAGCCAGAGGCGGGGAGGAAGGAGGAGAGAACGCAGGCCCGGCCCCUCCGCCGAGCGGCAUGCCGCACUACGGCGGCGACAGCGGUGGAACCGCCGUUUGGAUUCUUAACAGGGCAAUAGGAAGAUAUUUGAUCCCUGGCAACCGAAUCUAUAGAACUAACUUGGUUAAAUGGUUCUUUAAGGUCUGAUUCAUCCUUUCUACUCUCCCUGAUGAAGGUGGGUGCCAAGGAGUAUGAUAUUUCCAUCUAAUGUCUAGCGCUUAGGAUAGCUUUUUAAUGAUAUGUGCUAUGAAAUAGGUUUCACUGUCUGAGUCAAUAUUUUCUAUUAGCCCAAACCUGGGCACUAUAUUUUCAAUUAAUGCUUUAACUACAUGAUUGGCCAUUGCAUUUGAAAAGGGAAUAGCUUCGACCCAGUGAGUGAGGUGAUCUGCUAUUACUAAGUACUUUAGGCAACCGAUUGGGGGCAUUUCAAUGUAAUCAGUUUGAACACUUUGGAAUGGUCUUAGCCCUGAAUCCCUCCCCGCCCAGGGAUGAUUUCUUUAUAACUUGUUUGUUGGUUUCCUUACAUGUUAAGCAACUAUCCAUAACCUGUUUGGCUAGGGUAUAUACCCAUAAACCCUGAGAACUGUGUCACACAUGGCUUGGGGUCCCCAGUGUGUCCCUUGAUGCAGGUGGGUAGGAUUUCUCUCAUGAGCGGUUUGAAUAGCAUUUCUCUUUGAUCUGGUAACACCCAUUUUCCUUCUGAGUUUUCUUUGGCUCCAUUUUUAUUAAUUUUUCCUUUUCUGCAGCAGACAAGGUAGGGGUUGCAGCAGGGGGAGGAAGACGAGGGGUUAAGUGAAAGGUGUUUCAGAUGAAAUGGCAGCCUGUUUAGCCACUUGAUCUGCAAGGUUAUUUCCCUGACUUGUAAAGGAAAAGUCGUUUUGGUGUCCGGGGACAUGUACAAUGGCUAUUUCUUCUGGCAACUGGAGAUUGUUUAAAACAUGGACGAUUAGCUCCUCGUGGGUAAGAUAUUUUGGCCUUUAGUUUUUUUUUGUUUUUUGGUGUUUUUUUGAGACGGAGUCUUGCUCUGUCACCCAGGCUGGAGUGCAGUGGCACGAUCUCAGCUCAUUGCAAGUUCCACCUCCCGGGUUCACGCCAUUCUCCUGCCUCAGCCUCCUGAGUAGCUGGGACUACAGGAUCCCGCUACCACACCUGGCUAAUUUUUUUGUAUUUUUAGUAGAGACGGGGUUUCACCAUGUUAGCCAGGAUGGUCUUGAUCUCCUGACCUCGUGAUCCGCCCACCUCAGCCUCCCAAAGUGCUGGGAUUACAGGCAUGAGCCACCGCGCCUGGCCUGGCCUUUAGUAUUAAUAAGACCUUGCUCAGCCCAAAUUUUUCCAAAUAUAUGAGCUACUCCAAAAAUGUAUUUAGAAUCAGUAUGAAUAGUUCCUUCCUUGCUCUGUAAGUGUUUUAAAACCUGGCUGAGUGCAAAUAGUUCACAUGCUUUGGCAGACCAACUAUUGGGCAACCUUCCUGACUCUGUUUCUUCAAGAGUUUCUCCAUCAAUUACUGAAUACCCAUUGUAUUUUUCUCCUUUAAUUGCUUGGGAUCAACCAUCUAUAAAUAAGUGUCACCCCAUUUUGAAAGGGGUCUCUCUUAGAUCCGGCCUGACCUUUGUUUGGUAGUCAGUUAGAUCUAGACAUAAGUGUUCUCUUUUUAGAUUUGGGUCCCCUGUUAAGAAACCUCUCGGAUUGAGUGAGUUAUCAGUAGUCAAGGUUAAAUCAUCUUUUUAGUAAAAUAGCCUCCUAUUUUAAGAUUCUGGAGUCAGUGAGCCACCUUCCUGCUUUUUUAUUUAAAAUAGCUCUAACUUGGUGGGGUGUGCUUACAGUCAAUUUCCCCCCAAAGAUUAAUUUUCUACUUUCUUCAACUAAUACUGCUGUAGCUGCAACGAAUUGGAUGCACUGAGGCUACCCACAGGUGACUGGGUCUAAAAUUUUUGAUAGGAAGGCUACGGGCUGCCGGUGACCACCAUGUUCUUGAGUAAGAACCCCUAAAGCUACCCCGUUAUUUACAUUAACAAAAAGAUGAAAUGGCUUUUCUAGGGAAGCUAAGGCUAAGACAGGGGCAGUUAUGAGUUUGUAUUUCAGCUCUUCAACCUGAUUGACUUCCUCAGAAGUCCACAGGAGACGGUCCAGUUUCCACUGGGUAAGCUUUUCAUAUAAAAGUUUACUUUUUAGGGCAUAUGAGUCAAUCCAUAAGCAUCAAUAUCCAACUAAUCCUAGAAAUUUUCUGAGUUAUUGCUUAGUUUGAGGCAAGGGUAAGGACACGAUGCCUUCAACUCGUUCAGGUCCUAUCCUUUGCUUACCUGCACUUAUUAAGUGGCCUAAAUAUUUAACUUCAGGCUCCACAUACUGAAGCUUUCCCUUUAAGAACCAUAACCCCUCGAACUCCAGAUGGUUAAGGAUAUGUGUAGAGAAGCCAGCUACUUUCUCUACAUCUUCAACAGAUACGAGAAUAUCAUCCAUGUACUGGAGCAGGCAUAUUUGCUUUGGGAUGACAACUUUUUCUAACACUUGUUCUAAAAUUUGACCAAAAAGGUUUGGAGAGUCUGUAAACCCUUGAGGUAAAACUGUCCAUCAAUAAUGUUGUUUUCGCCCUGAAUGGGGAUCCUACCACUCAAAAGCAAAUAUGUCUCAGCUGUCUUCAGCCAAGGGGCAUGCCCAGAAGGCAUCUUUUAAAUCUAUUACUGUAAACAACUGAUGGUUUUUUGGAAUUUUGCUGAGAAUGGUGUAUGGGUUGGGGACAACAGGAUGGUUAGUUUGGACUAUUUGAUGGCUCUAAGAUCUUGUACCAAGUCGGUAUGACGCAUCUAAUUUCUUGACUGGCAAUAUUGGAGUGUUAUACGGGGACAUACAGGGUUCAAGGAGCCCAUCUUUAAUAAGACUUUCAAUUAUAGGCUUUAAUCCUAUCCUGCCCUCUAGGGGUUUGGGGUAUUGUUUCCUCCUUACUACUUCCCUGGGGAUUCUUAACUUGAUGUGGAUUGGAGGGAUUCAGAGUUUCUCCCGGUUUCCUUCCCUUGACCAGACACUAGGAUUAAUGCAUUUUUCAUCUGUGGUGGUGAGUAGGUUUAAUGAGGUAAAGAAUCCUUUAGGACCAACUUGUAAGCCUGUGCCUAAUUCUAGCAUUAAGUCUCUUCCUAAUAGAUUAGUUUCUGCCUCAGGGAUCAACAAAAAUUGGAUAUGAGUCAGCCGAUCUUGGUAUUUAACUUCUGUACUUUCUAAGAUUUUUGCUUUAAAUCCUUCUCCUUUUACCCCAGAGACUAAAAGUUCUUCUGAAGAGCAGGCAAUGUUGGAUGGGGGGAAGCAAAUGGAGGAGCGAGCCACUCCUGAAUUGACUAAAAGGUGAUAAGCUCAUGUUUGGUUCCCACCUGUAAAUUUAUCAAGGGCUCCUGGUGGGACUCGAGAUAAACAGAGCCCCUGACCCCCCUGUUCUUCCUCAAAAGUCAUGAGUUGAAGGGCUUCUUUCUCCUUUUCCAGUUUGGGACAUUCUCUUUUGAAGUGGCCUGCCCUUCAAACGGUCUGGACGGACCGUUUAUAGUUUCUGGCCCCCUGGAAGCUUUGUUUAGAAGCAUAAACGAGGGUCUGGACCUUUUAUAGUUUCUGGCCCCCUGGAAGCUUUGUUUAGAAGCAUAAACGAGGGUCUGGACCUUUUAUAGUUUCUGGCCCCCUGGAAGCUUUGUUUAGAAGCAUAAACGAGGGUCUGGACCUUUUAUAGUUUCUGGCCCCCUGGAAGCUUUGUUUAGAAGCAUAAAUGAGGGUCUGGACCUUUUAUAGUUUCUGGCCCCCUGGAAGCUUUGUUUAGAAGCAUAAACGAGGGUCUGGACCUUUUAUAGUUUCUGGCCCCCUGGAAGCUUUGUUUAGAAGCAUAAAUGAGGGUCUGGACCGUCUAUCGUUUCUGGCCCCCUGGAAGCUUUGUUUAGAAGCAUGUGGGUGUGGGGCCACCUGCUGGAAAGUGGAUAACGUGAGUUUUUGCCUUUUGUUUUUGCUUCUUUCCUCACAUAUAUUUUUUGAGCUUCUCCCAGAAGUUCACUUAGAGGUUGGUUUUCCCAGUCUUCUAAUUUUUGUAACUUUUUUGAAAUAUCUGGCCAACUUGUAGUGACAAAAUGGAGCUUUAACACUCCCUGUCCAAGGAGAUCUUCCAAAUUUAGGCCUGCAUAUUGUCUUGUUUGGUCCUUUAUUCUUGUCUAGAAAUUUCAUAGGCCCCCUCAUCUUUUUCCUAUUGUAUAUCAAAUGCUUUAGAGAGGUUUUGGGUUCAGGGUACUGAUUCCCUAAUUCCCUUUAUUAUCAUUUCCCUUAGGUCUUGCAUAUUUUCCCAGUGAGCUGCAUUAAUAUCGUCCCACCGGGGGUCUUGGGUGGGAAACUUUUGAUCUGCGGUAGGAAUGUUUGACCAGGAGGGUGUUCGUGUUCCCAAAUUGCCAUAGCAGCCCUACAGAUCAUGCUUCUUUCCUCCCCUGAAAAGAGGACGCAGGCCGGGCGCGGUGGCUCACGCCUGUAAUCCCAGCACUUUGGGAGGCCGAGGCGGGUGGAUCAUGAGGUCAGGAGAUCGAGACCAUCCUGGCUAACAAGGUGAAACCCCGUCUCUACUAAAAAUACAAAAAAAAUUAGCCGGGCGCAGUGGCGGGCGCCUGUAGUCCCAGCUACUCGGGAG